Molecule: ribosomal RNA, 484 nt
Filed under: uncultured bacterium
Lineage: Bacteria
Description: partial 16S ribosomal RNA
Rfam family: Bacterial small subunit ribosomal RNA
Source: RNAcentral
AUUGAACGCUGGCGGCAGGCCUAACACAUGCAAGUCGAGCGGAUGAAGGGAGCUUGCUCCUGGAUUCAGCGGCGGACGGGUGAGUAAUGCCUAGGAAUCUGCCUGGUAGUCGGGGAUAACGUCCGGAAACGGGCGCUAAUACCGCAUACGUCCUGAGGGAGAAAGUGGGGGAUCUUCGGACCUCACGCUAUCAGAUGAGCCUAGGUCGGAUUAGCUAGUUGGUGGGGUAAAGGCCUACCAAGGCGACGAUCCGUAACUGGUCUGAGAGGAUGAUCAGUCACACUGGAACUGAGACACGGUCCAGACUCCUACGGGAGGCAGCAGUGGGGAAUAUUGGACAAUGGGCGAAAGCCUGAUCCAGCCAUGCCGCGUGUGUGAAGAAGGUCUUCGGAUUGUAAAGCACUUUAAGUUGGGAGGAAGGGCAGUAAGUUAAUACCUUGCUGUUUUGACGUUACCAACAGAAUAAGCACCGGCUAACUUCGUG